RNAcentral lists this ribosomal RNA (352 nucleotides) under Clostridioides difficile. RNAcentral's name for it is "bacterial LSU rRNA". It matches the Rfam family "Bacterial large subunit ribosomal RNA", at positions 2143 to 2493 of the family's 2925-position model. Lineage: Bacteria; Bacillati; Bacillota; Clostridia; Peptostreptococcales; Peptostreptococcaceae. The record is from RNAcentral.
AUAGGUGGGAGGCUUUGAAACCAGGACGCCAGUUUUGGCGGAGCCAUCCUUGGGAUACCACCCUUGUAGUACUGGGACUCUAACCAUAGGCCAUGAAUCUGGUCUUGGGACACUGUCAGGUGGGCAGUUUGACUGGGGCGGUCGCCUCCCAAAAGGUAACGGAGGCGCGCAAAGGUUCUCUCAGUACGGUCGGAAAUCGUACGUAGAGUGUAAAGGCAAAAGAGAGCUUGAUUGCAAGACAUACAGGUCGAGCAAGGAUGAAAAUCGGACUUAGUGAUCCGGUGGUUCUGCGUGGAAGGGCCAUCGCUCAACGGAUAAAAGCUACCCUGGGGAUAACAGGCUUAUCUCCCCC